Vitis vinifera (wine grape) is the source of this 6040-nucleotide long non-coding RNA. RefSeq lists it as uncharacterized. The record is from RefSeq and is a predicted model, not a curated record. The transcript has 3 exons. NCBI's taxonomy places the organism in Eukaryota, Viridiplantae, Streptophyta, Magnoliopsida, Vitales, Vitaceae.
UUUACAAAAAUUAUGUCAAUUGACAUCACUUAAAUCACUAAUUCUGGAUGCUUACCACGGAUGCUGGGCUUUCAAUUUUCACCAGUCAGCAAUUGCAGACUUUUAGUUAUCACUGUUUGGAUGUAAAUAUUUGCUUUAUACGAUUUCUUUUGUGGAAUCAUUUGUAUCAUUAUUCUUUUCAUUAUGAACAUUUGGGUAUAGUAUCUUGUAGCAUCGGUAACAUUAUUUUCACCAUAGUACUACUAUUAAUAUAUUUUAGUAUUGCUUUUUUUUUAUAAAAGAGUAUGAACUAAUAAUGACGCGCUGAUGGUGAAUUGAUGUGAUGUCGUGAUGAAGCUGCGCUAAUCUGAAGUGAUGGUGUGCGUCUACAAAAUCGGUAGGUGAUGCUGAAUGAUGAUGAAGAAGUUGAUGUCCACGCGAACCCAAAGAGAGAGAUGAUCAAGACAUCCGUGCGAUGUCCAGUUUGCACGAAAGAUCGAAACGGUGUUGUUAUGAUCCUCAGAUGCUCCUCGAUGCGUGGUGGUUUAGAGUUGCAGGCGGUGUUCGAGAUGGCGAUGAACCAAUGCGUAGUCUGGUGCCUGAUCCGGAGACGCAGCGUUGAUGAACUGUUGUGGGCGCAAGAAUGGUGAUACGUGGGUCUGAUGACUCCUCUCUCAGAUCCAAUAGGGGUGAUGCCGACAGAAAUCUUGCUUCUGCCGGAGACUGUCGCUGUGUCAAUCUCCUCCACUCGGAACUGGUGAUGAUGGUCGAUAGCAGUGAUCUCCUCCAACUGGAUCCGUGACGCAGUCCCCUAUGAAAACUUUUGUCUCAAGAUCGAUCCUCCGCUCUCUGUUUCUUUCUUUUCCGGCAUCCCCGAAAGAUGAAAGAUGAAAAACCUCCAGAAUUCGUCAUGCAGUCCCUAAAGCUUAGAUGAAAACUUCUCUCUCGAGAUCGAUCCUCCCCUCUCUGUUUCUUUCUUUUCCGGCCAAAAGAUCCCCAAAAGAUGAAAGAUGAAAAACCUCCAGAUCGAUCCUCACGCCUAGAUGAAAACUUCUCCUCUCUCAAGAUCGAUCUUCCACUCUCUGUUUCUUUCUUUUCCGGCCAGAAGAUGAAAGCCAAAAACCGCCAGAAUUCUCCCUCGGUAUAUGAUGAUCUCCUCUUCAAAGAAAAGUCCAGAAUCCUCUCGAUAUUGCCUUCCAAAGUCGGUGAUAGCUCCCCUCACCAAAAAAAUGAAUGAUGAAUGAUGAAUGAUCCAAAAUGAAUGUGCAGUGAUGGUCUUCUGAUCUGCCGGUGCUGCGCACUCCUGAAGAUAAACUAAUGAAGAUGAACUGCCAAUCAAGAUAGCGUGGCCGUUAUGAUCUUCCCAAUGGUCUUGUACCUCCCCAAAGCUCUGAUGAUCCUGCACCAAUGAAGUGGGAGUGUUGCUGUUGACGAGAACCCUCCAGAAUCUCUCCUAUCCUCUUCAGAAUGCUGAAAAAAAAUCCCUUAAACCAAAUUCGUGAUGAUGAAAUCUGUGAAUCUGCUGUGGAUACGGUCUUGAUGUCGUUGUGAUGCCACUUUUCCAAAAAAAUAAAGAAAAUCUGAAAAGCCGUAAUUGCUCGGAAAAUCUCGAUACCCUAACAAAAAUAAGAGGUAACCUUCGUCCUUUUUACUCUGGUUUCCACUAGCGCCGACGACGGCUCCCACCUCAUGCUCAGAAUAACCCGGAACCCAGAGUAAGCGCGCUCUCUCUUGGGUUCUUUGUUUGGUUACCUAGAAAAUAAUAGUCAAAUUUUUCUUUGAAGGAUUUACUUUUCCUCUUUGUUUUGUUUUUUCCAUUACUGAGGCUGAGAUCCUUUUCGUUUUUUCUACGACCUUUAGGUAAUUCCUUUCAUUUUCUGGGUUGCUUUCCCCUUUCCCGUUCCUUAAAUUUCCCCAGAAUUUUUCUGAACUUUUCCGGCUUGUUUCGUUAUGGAUUUGGUAUGUUUUUUUACCUAAUUGUCGAUGAUAUUCUUGCUACUGUUUCUUGGCCAAUAUUUUUUUUAACAAUCCGUGUUAUGGGUUUUUGGGAUUUCUGUUUGGUUGCUGGGAGAGUGGCAGCUAAGAGAAGUAAGCUGAAAGGUGGAACAUUAAUUUUGCCCUUUAACCACUAUUGAUUUGUCUUGAUUUGUUUCUUUUUCUUUAUGAAAUCAAUGUUUGAUCUUUUUUUUCUUGGCAAUUAGUGAGGAUUAUUGUUUGUUCUUUUUCUUUGGGAAUAUGGACUGACAGAGGAGAAAUAGAGACAAAAUAGGAAAAAAAAAACAUUGGGAAAAGUAGCCAGAAAAUGGAAACUACAUGGAACCUUUUAGAAGAGAACUCUUAGGCUAUGUUUGGUUCCCGGAAAAUUUGAGGGAAAAUGCGAGGGAAAGAAAAUACAAAGGAAAAGUAGAAGGAAAGAAAAAGUGAAGGAAAAUAAAAAAAAUAGAUUAAAAGUUGAUAAAUUAUUUUUUUUGUUACUUCAAACACAUUUUAUUUAUUUUAACUCAUCAAUAUAAAGAUUAAAUAAUUUAUAAAUACAUAAGUUUUUAAUUAGUUUUAAUUAUAUUUGAUUUUCUUUGAUAUUUUUCAUAGGACAACCAAACAUGAAAAAAUCAUUUUCCUUAGCAUUUUUUUUCUUUCCUUUGUACUUUCCGGGAACCAAACAUAGCCUUAAGGUAAAACGUGUUCGACCUCACUACAGUGGAGCGGAGAUAGAUGGAUUCGGAUUCGUAGAAAUCUCUUGAAUGUGAGUACCCAAUAAUCUAUUCCGAUUUUUAAAACUUUUGUGCUUCUCAUGGCAUUUUCUCAGGUCCACCCUCCCACAUUCCCAUCAUUUCUCUCUCUUUUUCCCCAAGGAAAAAAAGCUCGAUUUCCAUUACUUAUCUUUUUUAAUUCCUCUUGUCAGACCAUUGUUGCUGUUUUAUAAAGAACAUAAGGAAGUUUAAUUUGGGAAUUCUUGUAAGACUAAAAGCAAUUCAUUCCAUUUUUUGUAUGCUUAGUGCUUUUGUUACUUUCUAUUUAAUUGAAUUCAUAUAUAUAUAUAUAUAUAUAUAUAUACAUCUCCAUGAAUUUAUUUGGCUGUUGCAAAAAUUUUAGGGAAACAAAAUGUUUAGGUUUUUCGUUUAGAACUUCUCAAAUUGAGCCUAACACCACUCCAUUUGGCUUAGUUGGGUUAAGGUUUCAUUAAAAUUUGUAUUUAUUUAGUUUUUUUCAUUUUCCUUAUUUGUUCUUGGCAACCAAACAGGGUGCAAAGGAAAACAAGUAAUUAUUUAUAAGCUGCCACGAGCUGUUUAAUCCUGUUACCAACCCAUGGUUGCUUGCAAGUUGGCUCAAUUAGUUGUGUCGCUUAGGUUUGCUUGUUAUGUAUCGGCAUGUCUUCUGUUGGAACAAUGUGACUAGUUAACCACACUUAGUUUUGGAACAGUAUCUUCCUAAGGAAUAUUUGGGUAUCUUGUUGUGUACAUUCAUGAUAUGUGAAAUGCAUGAAGCAUUGAAAUGGAGCAAUAGACUCCACCAUAUUUUUGGUGAAUAUAAGUGUUUUAUAAUAUAAGUGUUUUAUGAUAUAAAGUAUAAGUUAGCCACAUCCAUUUUAUAUAUAUAUUUUUUAAUGCAAUUAACUACUUGAUUUAUGAGAUAAGGUUUUCUUCGGUUGAGUAGUGUUCCUGUGUUUUCCAUAUGCAUAUAAAAUUUUUUACAUGCAUAUCACUAAUUUAUACAUUAUAUUGUAGGUAAUGUUGCUGUUAGAAAAAAAAAUAAUAAUAGGAUUAGACGAAAUCAGAGCACCAAAGAGGAUAUUUUAUGAUGAAGUAAUGUUUUGGAACAUUUGAUGAUGAAGUAAUGUUUUGGAAUAUCUUUUGUCUAAUUUAUUUUAAUUAGUUCAUCUUUGAUGCGCUUCAAGUUGCUUGCAUCUUUGAUGUCCAAUUUAUCCUGUUUAUUAUUAAGUGUAGGUUGUUAUCCCUCCACUCAGCCAUUUAUUGUAUAAUAAUGAUCUUGUAUUCUAGCUUAUUUAUCAAUUCAAAUGUGUUAUUGAGUAAAUGAUUCCAAACUUGGGGGUGUCCUUGAAGAAUGAAUCCAACCCCAUGCCAUUAUAUCCUCUAUUUCUGGUAUUUCUAGUAUUCUAAUUCAUGGUUGAUUUAAGAGCACUUUGUGUUGUUAAUCCAAGUUGCAAAGGAAGGUGGUGAAAAUGGAAGGCUAUGAUUGAUGAAGUAAGUUCUGAUCAAAUAUUUUGGAAUACACUUAAAAGAGUUUUGAAUUGAAGUUUUGAAUAUAUGAUUUUUUACCCUUCAGGAAGAGAGGAUUGGAUUUUCAUUUCUUAUAUUUUAUAUAAAAGACUAACUGGAUUUUGUGUGGUUGUUCAGGAAGAGGGAGGCAAAGAACCUGAUCGAGAGUUGAUAGAUGAUUAUGAGUACUUUAGGAUGGGAUCCUCUCAACUCAAGUGUUCUGUUUUUACUAAAUUGGGUUUCGAACCCUUGUAAAUUUUGAAUCCUAUUUAACUCAUAGAUGUUUGGAGUUUCUAUAUGUUCAGAAAGAAAGUAUAUUCUUGUUAACCAUUUAGCUCACUUUUUGCCUCCUAUAGAAUAUUUUGUUUUCAUCAUCUUUAUAUUGAUUUGAAAUGAGGUCUCUUCACUAUUGAAAGUAGGAUAAUGAAAAUGGACAAUGAAAUUUAUUCCCCUAUAACAAGAAAAAUGGAUUUUUAUUUUUUUGUUGGAGAAAGUAAAACCUACUAGCUACUACUAUACGUGUAGUGCAUGAAACAAUGGAAUGAGUCCUCAUAUAUAUUUGGGAGAAUUGUGUUUUGGGCCCAGCUGGGCCCAAAAAUUAAGGAAUGGUCCAUCUAACUAACUAAAUUAAUGAUAAGGAUAUCAAAUGUUAACAGACGAAAAUACCCUUUACAUUUCCAACUCAAAAUUGUUGUAAAAUAAUGGUUUCACAGCUGGUAAACGUGAAAUGCCAUGUCACCAGAGUGAAAAUUCUGAAUCUUCCUAAAAACCACUCACAUAUACCCUCUCCUUCUACUCUCUUUCUUGCCGGAGUUUCAGUUUCUCCGUUCAACCCCAACUCUUCUCCGGCCAAUUCUUACUCGUCCCACCAUUCUUUCCUUCAAUUCUCACCAGAGUUUGCUCCUUUUCCACCAAAGUUCACUCCUUUUUCACGAAAGCUCACAACUUUUUCCCACCCGAGAAACCAUUUUCCGCUCAAACAAAUAGGAUUUUCUCCUUUUCUAGUUUAUGGGAUUUCGACAUAGUUCCUAAAAAGAGACACUUGAGAGGGAACUAAGGUUUUCUCUGUAUACACAAAAGGGUUUUUAGAGAGAGAAAACAGAGUGCAGUUUCACUGAGCCAUUUUUGUUUGCUUUGAAGGAAAUUUUUUAUGUGUUUUGGUGAAGAUUUUAGGGCCUAAAGCUUCAGAUUAUUUGUUUGGCAAUGCAGAAAAUAUAUUCUGGAUUGCUAGAGAGAUUGUAAUCAGCGCAGCAAAUUCAAGGUUGGGGGUUACUGCUUUGACAAAACGAGUGGGGUUAAUAGAUAGACCUGAUAGUCCAUAUGGCGAGUUGAUAAAGAGGGACCCUUGCCUCACAACGAUCGGGUGAUCUAUCAGCCACUGGACGUAUAUCCUGCUCCACUCCACAGAUGUUAAAAGUGUUAACGGAACGACGUAGGGUUCUCAGUUCCUACCAUGUUGUCUUUGAUCCUACUUUGGCUGCCCUCUAUCUGAGUCCAAGCUAGACAUUGAUUCGGGCUCCUGGGAGAAGAAAGAAACCCGGCUUUUGACACUAAUGCUCUGGUUCUUAGAUGCUGAAGUUAUUGAAUAUUGUCAGCUGCCUCUUGAGUAGAAGGGUGAAAUGCCAAUGGAAUGUAUAUUGAGAUGAGGCUUAGGAAUGUGGUUUACAACAAUUUUGUUGGCUUAUUUAUUACUAUUUUGAUGUUUCUGUACAAUGAAAUUGAAGUUAUAAGAAGGGUCGAUUUGUCUUCGUGUACAGAGAAAUCUGUAAUGAAAAUACUUUUUGCCCAUUAAUGUAUUAAUGUGCAGAACAUAUAAAAAUUGUGAAAUCUCGAGUUCUAGCGAA